This 381-nucleotide ribosomal RNA is filed under the name uncultured bacterium. RNAcentral's name for it is "bacterial SSU rRNA". It matches the Rfam family "Bacterial small subunit ribosomal RNA", at positions 30 to 429 of the family's 1533-position model. The record is from RNAcentral.
AUUGAACGCUGGCGGCAGGCUUAACACAUGCAAGUCGAGCGGAGACUUCGGUCUUAGCGGCGAACGGGUGAGGAAUGCCUGGGAAUCUGCCUGGUAGUGGGGGAUAACGUUCCGAAAGGAACGCUAAUACCGCAUACGUCCUACGGGAGAAAGCAGGGGACCUUCGGGCCUUGCGCUAUCAGAUGAGCCCAGGUCGGAUUAGCUAGUAGGUGAGGUAAAGGCUCACCUAGGCGACGAUCCGUAGCUGGUCUGAGAGGAUGAUCAGCCACACUGGAACUGAGACACGGUCCAGACUCCUACGGGAGGCAGCAGUGGGGAAUAUUGGACAAUGGCGAAAGCCUGAUCCAGCCAUGCCGCGUGUGUGAGAAGGCUCGGUGUAAG